Molecule: ribosomal RNA, 519 nt
Filed under: Phaeomoniella sp. HBL2005b
Lineage: Eukaryota; Fungi; Ascomycota; Eurotiomycetes; Phaeomoniellales; Phaeomoniellaceae
Description: eukaryotic LSU rRNA
Rfam family: Eukaryotic large subunit ribosomal RNA
Source: RNAcentral
AAUAGCUCAAAUUUGAAAUCUGGCUCUUUCAGGGUCCGAGUUGUAAUUUGUAGAGGAUGUUUCGGGCAACGUUUCGGUUUAAAUUCCUUGGAACAGGAUGUCAUAGAGGGUGAGAGUCCCGUCUUGAACCGUAUACCGCGUCCAUGUGAAACUCCUUCGACGAGUCGAGUUGUUUGGGAAUGCAGCUCAAAAUGGGAGGUAAAUUUCUUCUAAAGCUAAAUAUUGGCCAGAGACCGAUAGCGCACAAGUAGAGUGAUCGAAAGAUGAAAAGCACUUUGAAAAGAGAGUUAAACAGUAUGUGAAAUUGUUGAAAGGGAAGCGCUUGCAACCAGACUUGUGUUUAACGGUUCCAUCACUGUUCUCAGUGGUCUAUUCCGUUAUAUCCAGGCCAGCAUCGGUUCGGGUGGUUAGUUAAAGGCCUUGGGAAUGUAUCUACCCUUCGGGGUCGACUUAUAGCCCUUGGUGUAAUGUGACCUACCUGGACCGAGGCACGCGCAUCUGCUCGGAUGCUGGCGUAAU